AGUGAACGCUGGCGGUAGGCUUAACACAUGCAAGUCGAGCGGUAACAUUUCCAGCUUGCUGGAAGAUGACGAGCGGCGGACGGGUGAGUAACGCGUAGGAAUCUACCGAGUAGGUGGGGGACAACCAGUGGAAACGCUGGCUAAUACCGCAUACCGCCCGUACGGGGGAAAGCGAGGGGAUCUUCGGACCUUGCGCUAUUCGAUGAGCCUGCGUGAGAUUAGCUUGUUGGUGAGGUAACUGCUCACCAAGGCGACGAUAUCUAGGGGGUCUGAGAGGAUUAUCCCCCACACUGGUACUGAGACACGGACCAG
This 312-nucleotide ribosomal RNA is filed under the name uncultured bacterium. RNAcentral's name for it is "bacterial SSU rRNA". It matches the Rfam family "Bacterial small subunit ribosomal RNA", at positions 29 to 334 of the family's 1533-position model. The record is from RNAcentral.